UGGGGAAUAUUGCACAAUGGGCGCAAGCCUGAUGCAGCCAUGCCGCGUGUAUGAAGAAGGCCUUCGGGUUGUAAAGUACUUUCAGUCGUGAGGAAGGCGGCGUCGUUAAUAGCGGCAUCGUUUGACGUUAGCGACAGAAGAAGCACCGGCUAACUCCGUGCCAGCAGCCGCGGUAAUACGGAGGGUGCGAGCGUUAAUCGGAAUUACUGGGCGUAAAGCGCAUGCAGGUGGUUUGUUAAGUCAGAUGUGAAAGCCCGGGGCUCAACCUCGGAAUAGCAUUUGAAACUGGCAGACUAGAGUACUGUAGAGGGGGGUAGAAUUUCAGGUGUAGCGGUGAAAUGCGUAGAGAUCUGAAGGAAUACCGGUGGCGAAGGCGGCCCCCUGGACAGAUACUGACACUCAGAUGCGAAAGCGUGGGGAGCAAACAGGAUUAGAUACCCUGGUAGUCCACGCCGUAAACGAUGUCUACUUGGAGGUUGUGGCCUUGAGCCGUGGCUUUCGGAGCUAACGCGUUAARUAGACCGCCUGGGGGAGUACGGUCGCAAGAUUAAAACUCAAAUGAAUUGACGGGGGCCCGCACAAGCGGUGGAGCAUGUGGUUUAAUUCGAUGCAACGCGAAGAACCUUUACCUACUCUUGACAUCCAGAGAACUUUCCAGAGAUGGAUUGGUGCCUUCGGGAACUCUGAGACAGGUGCUGCAUGGCUGUCGUCAGCUCGUGUUGUGAAAUGUUGGGUUAAGUCCCGCAACGAGCGCAACCCUUAUCCUUGUUUGCCAGCGAGUAAUGUCGGGAACUCCAGGGAGACUGCCGGUGAUAAACCGGAGGAAGGUGGGGACGACGUCAAGUCAUCAUGGCCCUUACGAGUAGGGCUACACACGUGCUACAAUGGCGCAUACAGAGGGCGGCCAACUUGCGAGAGUGAGCGAAUCCCAAAAAGUGCGUCGUAGUCCGGAUUGGAGUCUGCAACUCGACUCCAUGAAGUCGGAAUCGCUAGUAAUCGUGGAUCAGAAUGCCACGGUGAAUACGUUCCCGGGCCUUGUACACACCGCCCGUCACACCAUGGGAGUGGGCUGCAAAAGAAGUAGGUAGUUUAACCUUCGGGGGGACG
Molecule: ribosomal RNA, 1107 nt
Filed under: Vibrio alginolyticus
Lineage: Bacteria; Pseudomonadati; Pseudomonadota; Gammaproteobacteria; Vibrionales; Vibrionaceae
Description: bacterial SSU rRNA
Source: RNAcentral